RNAcentral lists this unclassified non-coding RNA (361 nucleotides) under uncultured Ktedonobacteria bacterium. RNAcentral's name for it is "contains 16S-23S intergenic spacer region". Lineage: Bacteria; Bacillati; Chloroflexota; Ktedonobacteria. The record is from RNAcentral.
UCCGGUUUGUUUCCGGCAGUCUCUGUAGAUGUGCAACUACAGACAAGGGUUGCGCUCGUUGCGGGACUUAACCCAACAUCUCACGACACGAGCUGACGACAGCCAUGCAACAUCUGUGCAUCUGUCCUUGCGGAGGGCCUGCUUUCACAGGCUUGCAAAUGCAUGUCAAGCCCAGGUAAGGUUCUUCGCGUCGCAUCGAAUUAAACCACACGCUCCGCUGCUUGUGCGGGUCCCCGUCAAUUCCUUUGAGUUUUAGUCUUGCGACCGUACUCCCCAGGCGGGCCACUUAAUGCGUUAGCUACGGCACGGAAGGGGUCAACACCCCCCACACCUAGUGGCCAUCGUUUACUGCUAGGACUAC